GUCCUACGGGGGGCAGCAGUAAGGGAUAUUGGUCAAUGGGGGAAACCCUGAACCAGCAACGCCGCGUGAGGGAAGACGGUUUUCGGAUUGUAAACCUCUGUCCUCUGUGAAGAUGAUGACGGUAGCAGAGGAGGAAGCUCCGGCUAACUACGUGCCAGCAGCCGCGGUAAUACGUAGGGAGCGAGCGUUGUCCGGGUUUACUGGGUGUAAAGGGAGCGUAGGCGGCCUGGCAAGCCUGAUGUGAAAUACCGGGGCCCAACCCCGGGGCUGCAUUGGGAACUGCCAGGCUGGAGUGCCGGAGAGGG
This 305-nucleotide ribosomal RNA is filed under the name uncultured bacterium. RNAcentral describes it as "bacterial SSU rRNA". It matches the Rfam family "Bacterial small subunit ribosomal RNA", at positions 335 to 658 of the family's 1533-position model. The record is from RNAcentral.